GACAGAGGUGCCAAGCGUUAGGCGGAAUCACUGGGCUUAAAGCGUGUGUAGGUGGAAGCGUAAGUACCUUGUGAAAUCCCACGGCUUAACCGUGGAACUGCUUGGUAUACUGCGUUUCUUGAGCCAACUAGGGGCUAUCGGAACAAGUGGUGAGCGGUGAAAUGCGUAGAUAUCACUUGGAACGCCAAUGGUGAAAAACAGAUAGCUGGGGGUUGUGCUGACACUGAGACACGAAAGCCAGGGAGCAAACGGG
RNAcentral lists this ribosomal RNA (253 nucleotides) under uncultured bacterium. Its description in RNAcentral is "partial 16S ribosomal RNA". It matches the Rfam family "Bacterial small subunit ribosomal RNA", at positions 524 to 776 of the family's 1533-position model. The record is from RNAcentral.